AAGUCGUAACAAGGUUUCCGUAGGUGAACCUGCGGAAGGAUCAUUAAAAGUGCCCCGUCCGAACCCAUAAGGAUCUGGGGACCACACCACUGACCUGCACGUCCCCGCCCUGGCGGGUGGGCACGUGUCGAAGUUGUGGUUUAUGUGUCCACCCUAUGUGAAACUUGGAAACUUUGCUUCGGCAGCACCUUGCGGGCGACCGCUCGGGUAAGGCUGCCAGAGGCCCACCUGAAACUAGUUGAUGAAAUGUCAUGCUGUCUGAUACUUUGCAAUUUGAGAAAUCAAAUGAUAUUAAAACUUUCAGCAACGGAUCUCUUGGUUCCC
This 324-nucleotide unclassified non-coding RNA is filed under the name fungal sp. Its description in RNAcentral is "partial internal transcribed spacer region". The stretch from base 1 to 46 matches the Rfam family "Eukaryotic small subunit ribosomal RNA", at positions 1786 to 1831 of the family's 1831-position model. The record is from RNAcentral. Lineage: Eukaryota; Fungi.